RNAcentral lists this ribosomal RNA (254 nucleotides) under uncultured bacterium. RNAcentral describes it as "partial 16S ribosomal RNA". The record is from RNAcentral.
CUGCUGCCUUCCGUAGGAGUCUGGGCCGUGUCUCAGUCCCAGUGUGGCUGGUCGUCCUCUCAGACCAGCUACUGAUAGUUGCUUUGGUGAGCCGUUACCUCACCAACCGGCUAAUCAGUCAUCGGCCGCUCCGCUCGCGAGAGGCCCUUGCGGGUCCCCCUCUUUCUUCCGUAGAACUCAUGCGGUAUUAGCCAACCUUUCGGCUGGUUGUCCCCCACGAGCGGACACGUUCCGAUGUAUUACUCACCCGUUCG